AACGUUCUGCGGUGUAAGUUACUCUGAGUAUUUUUUUACUACAAUUGAGUUUUUCGGGAGUUCGGGUCUUAUUAUCUGCUGCUAUGCCCCACCAGAAAGAGGGGACAGCUAAAGUAGUAAGUAGAACACCCACCUGUGAGAUGCAGGUUCAAAAAACUCAGCGGACGGCAUCGCGGUAUUAGU
Molecule: non-coding RNA, 183 nt
Filed under: Firmicutes bacterium HGW-Firmicutes-12
Lineage: Bacteria; Bacillati; Bacillota
Description: 6S RNA
Rfam family: 6S / SsrS RNA
About the family: E. coli 6S RNA was the first non coding RNA to be sequenced, but its function was unknown until recently.
Source: RNAcentral